RNAcentral lists this long non-coding RNA (209 nucleotides) under Elaeis guineensis (African oil palm). RNAcentral's name for it is "long non-coding RNA (EGUI_LNC023862)". Lineage: Eukaryota; Viridiplantae; Streptophyta; Magnoliopsida; Arecales; Arecaceae. The record is from RNAcentral.
CUCAGGUGUUCUCCUUCCCAUCAGAUCUCUGAAAAGAAGAAUGAAUGAAAAGAAAAACAAGUGAAAUGGGGAAAACAUUUUACCUUUCAAAAUUUCUGUGGAGCGGCCGAGCAGGCUUUGUUUCCCUUCGAUUUUUCUCUAGUUUUUAGAUUCUUCAGGAGUCGGAUGGGAGGCUUGGGGUGGCCGAAUGGCGAAGUGGGAUGGUGGGA